RNAcentral lists this long non-coding RNA (8396 nucleotides) under Nicotiana tabacum (common tobacco). Its description in RNAcentral is "long non-coding RNA (NTAB_LNC012959)". The record is from RNAcentral. Lineage: Eukaryota; Viridiplantae; Streptophyta; Magnoliopsida; Solanales; Solanaceae.
UCAAAUGGCAUAAAAAGAUAUUUCAAUUCCCGAAAUCACAAUCUGAAUUUGAUAUCCAUAAAGUCAACUCUUGGUCAAACUUAUGAACUUUCCAAACCUUCAAAUUUCUAAUUUUGCCCAAUUUGUACCGAAACCUUCUAGAAACAUCCAAAUGCAAAUCUGAGCAUACUCCUGAGUCCAAAAUCACCAUCCGGACCUAACAGAACCAUCAAAACUCCAAUCCGAGGUCAAAUACAAAAAAAGUCAAACUUGGUCAAGUUUUCCAACUUAAAGCUUAAAACAUGAAAUUCAUUCUUUCAAAUUGAUUCCGAAUAACCUGAAAACCAAAUCGAUGAUUCACAUAAGUCAUAAGACAUCAUAUAGAGCUACUCAUGCAUGUAAACUACCGAGCGAAGUGUAAAUGCUCAAAACGACCAUUUGAGUCGUUACAUCAAACCUUUGUUUGUUUGUAGAAAAUGAAGCACGAAAUCCCUAUGUUUGAUAUAGUACAAAAUAUCCCACCUUUGCUAAUUGACUGGUGGAAAGACCUUGCACCCUAUGAUAGAAACCAUGUGAGGAGAGUACUUGGUGACCUGCUAUCUAUGCUGAACAUUCGACCAAAUAAGGAACUGAUCAAGGCCCCUACCGAGUUCUAGGACGAGAAGAGAGCUAUUUCUCGAUUUGGCAAUAUAGAAAUGACUCCUCUCUUAGAAGAAAUAGGCGGUUUCGCCAAGUUACCAUGGGAUAGUCCAGGACUAUUGGUGCCAGAAAAUCGCACUACACAUGAUUUUUUGAAAAUGUUAGGUUUUAAGAAGAAUAAUGAACUGCUCUGUUUGAAGAAAUCAUACAUCCCUUUUGAGUUUCUCUACGAGCAUUAUGGUCAUAACAAAUAAUAUCGCCUUCAUCAUAAGGAGCUAACCAUUAUUUCUUUUGGAUGGGUGCAUCGUCAGGUUUUUGUUUUUAUUGUCUGCUUCUUGGGAUUGUUGAUCUUUCCGAUUCAAGGGGGAAUUAUUCAUACUCACCCAGCCAUAGUCGCCAGGACCUUAAUGAAUGGCAUCGAAGGAAAGACGUAUACUAUCAACCUAAUGAUCUUAGCUGAGAUGUACGGUGCUCUGGAUCAGUGCAAGCAUGGGUUCAGACUCUUUGAGGGUUGUAAUCUAUUGCUACAAGUUUGGUUGUUAGAACACUUUCAUAGGGGUGAGUAUCAAAAGGAGAUUCUACAAAGGCCGUUGAAUGACUACAUAGCCAGCCAUCAUCCAAAAAAGAUGACAUUCAUCCCCAAUAGGUUUGCAAAGUGUGAAAAUGUUAUAGGCUGUGCAUUUCUUCAGUAGGAUGACAGACGAGCAAGUACAUUGGAUGUUUGAAUGUUUUCCUAGUAGAGAGUUCAUCCUCAUAUCAAAACAAACUACUCACUUGGUACUGAUCGGGCUGCGAGGCAUCUACCCUUGCACUCCUAUAAGGGUAAUAAGGCAAGAUGGAAGAAAACAAGUCAUACCUCGGGUUUCUAACAUGGUUCAGUAUAAGGCACACUUCAAAGAGGAUGUCAUCCCAUUCAAGUUCGAAGCGCAACACAUGUGGAACCAAAAGAUAAUCAUGGAAGGAGAAACUAUUGAGCCAGACAUGUAUCACGCCGGCCAUAUGUACUACUAUCUAUCAUGGAUGGAAGACAACAUAGUUGGGGACGUCAAACCAGGAGUCAAUUUGAAGGAUAUGAUCAUAGAUAAGGUGGCUGAGGAACAAGUGAAGUACAAUAGGCUAGUAAAAAGGGUGCUGGAGUCCGAAGUUAAGCAUCUGGAACUACAUAAAUUGAACAUGGAGCUGAUAAGAGAAUGGAAAGAGAUUUCCAAUAAGUCAAUAGAGAGGUUAGAAUACUUGGAGAAAGGAUUCAUAGGGCUAGAAGGGAAGAUGAGAAAGAGACUUUGGGAUUGUCAAGGGCUUAUUUACUACUGGACAUGCGAGAUAUAGUAAACAUGAUUGAUGGGGUCAAGAGAGCCAAGCAUGGAGAAGGUCCUUCAGGCACCAAGUAGAUUAGGAGAUAAUAUUCUUUACUGCAUUCUAGCUUAAAUUAAAUUUCGAUGUAAUAAGGCUUAAUGCCAUUAGUAACUUUAUUAUUAUUGUCGAUUUAGUGUAAGAUUUUUUUUGGCUUAUUUUCAAACUAAUGAAAUGAAACAAACGUUGGCAUAAAGUUUCUUCAAGUCUAUGUGUCGCUUAGGCCUACCUCAGGUACAAUGAGGUCCCUAAAAUUAGGACGCGAAUUAUUGCAUGACUUUAUGUGAUACGUGCUUAAAUAUUGCAAACACUCUUUUACUUCGUUUUACUGACUUGGUUACCUUUUAUUUUUAUUUCUUUUGAUUAUUCCCAUUCCCACGGGUUGGUUCGUGCAUCCUAGCAUCAUCAGCAUACCACACAAGAUCCAGAGGUCCUCCACCUCCUCUUCCACCUACCAACCCAAAAAGAAAAGGCAAAGGAAAAAUGGAUGAUUUAAGUGGUAUUCGAAAAGACCAUGCUACCAGAUGGGAGAGAAUGUUGAAACCUCAAACGGGAGAAGCAUGCCAGGACAGAAUGAGUUGGUCCUGCAUUUAGAGCAGAAAAUCCUGGAGCUGCAGGGUGAGCUCAAGUAGGUGCAAAAUCUGGCAAACCUUUCUCUUACUCUAAAUGUUCUCGGCAUCAACCAGCAAAACACAACCACUCAAAACCAAACACCAUAACAAAACACACAAAACUAGAAUCCACCACCCAUAACUAUGAAUCCUCUCGCACCGCACCAGUAUCAGAACCUCGUACCUCCCCAAAACCUUAACCCAACACCAGUCUAAACGCCCCAACAAAACCACCUUCACGCAACUCAAUAUCCGCAAACCACCACUUAUCACACUCCCCAAAAUGCACCACAACAUACUCCCAAUCCCCAAACCUCAAUUGAUGAUCACCCAUGUACCGAAGUUCGAGGAACUCAUCAAAGUAACCCAAUAUACAUGGAAACCUUACCCCAUACCCAGCAGAAAACUCUAUACAUACUUGAGCCGACGAAGAAGGACCUGCUCAUUUGAAAUAUGGCAGAGGAAUUCAAGAAACUAACAGGGAGAGUCCAGAGUGUUGAAGGUGGGAAAGGCAUUGAAGGUUUAAACUAUGAAGAUUUGUGUAUCCAACUAGAGGUAGAACUGCCGAACGGUUACAAACCUGCCAAGUUUGAGAUGUUCGAUAGCACUGGUGAUUCGAAGGUGCAUCUGAGAACCUACUACGAAAAGCUUGUAGGAGUGGGUAAGAAUGAACAAAUCCGCAUGAACUGUUCAUGCGAAGUCUUACAGGAGACACCUUACCUUGGUAUAUCAGUCAAAACCCAAAGAAGUGGCAUCAGAUUUCAUGGGCAGAUUUAGGUUCAAUACAUAGAAAGCACCAAACAUUUUCUUUUCUAUAUUCAGAACCUCAAGAAGAAGCCGACAGAAACCUUCCGCGAGUAUGCUACUCGUUGGAGAUCAGAGGCCGCAAAGGUAAGGCUAGCAGUUGAAAAAGAACAAAUGAACAAGUUCUUUGUUAGAGCUCAAGAUCCGCAGUAUUAUGAAAGGUUGAUGGUCAUCGAGAAUCACAAGUUCUCAUACAUCAUCAACUUAUGAGAACGGAUAGAAGAAGAAAUCAACAUUGGUAUGGUGACAAAUUUUGAGGCACUGCAAACCAUAAAUAAAGCCUUGCAAGCAGAAGGUAUUUCAAAAAAGAAAGAGAUGGGUGCCUUGAUGGUAGCCCAGGGCCCUAAGUCUCCCUUUACAUACCAAACACCUCCACCCACAUAUCAACCCUCACCCCAAAAAUACCAAUACCCUACCACCACCUACCAUGCCUCUAACACUCAGCUUUCAUAUUACCAUUCACCUCCACCCGCCCGCCAAAACUACCCAAAGCCACGCCCAAGCUUUGACCGCAGAGCUCCCAGAAAAUACACCCCAAUUGUUGAACCCAUAACCCAACUGUAUGAGAGACUGAAGGCCGCUGGUUACAUCACCCUUAUUUCUGUUGUUGCUAUUGAGAACCAUUCCCAGUGGAUUAACCCCAAUAAACUUGUGUCUAUCACUCAGGCAUGAAGGUCAUACUAUUAAAAAUGUCGCAUAUUAAAAGACAAGAUUCAGACACUAAUCGAGACUAAGGUUAUACAAGCAAAGGAAGUCGCACCAAAUGAUUAUAAUAACCCUCUCCUGGAUCAUAGGGGUGAUGGAGUGAACGUGUUAGAAACUGAUGAGGAAUGGGAUCAGGAGGGAUCUAUUGGAUUUAUUCGAGAGGGCGAUACUCCCAAAAUAGCUCAUGUCACCCUCUCGCCAAUUGUAGUGCAAACUCAGGCACCGUUUGAGGUCGAGGUAGCUACACCUUUUACAAUGAUGGCAGCUCUCACACCAUCUUAUAAGUUUGAUGCCCUCCCAUGGAAUUAUGUUGCGGAGGCAAGAAGAAAGGGAAAAUCCAAGAUGGAAGAGACAGGUAUUGCACAAAGUGUGACUAGAACUAGUAGAGUUUACACACCUGAGAAUCUUGGAGGAACAAGCAAAAAAGCUGCAUCUAAGCUGCAUGUCAUUCAGACAAGUACUGGCGAUCUUUGGAGACAAUUACUCUUGCCCAAAUAUCCAUUUUAUCACUGUUACAAAAUUCAAACGCACAUAAGAAUGCCUUAUUGAAUGGGAUAAGUAAAGCUUAUGUACCAUCCAAUAUCACUAGUGGAGAGAUGGCUAACAUGAUCGGACAUGUGCUUGAGAGUCAAAAAAUUACUUCCCACGAAGAUGAGUUACGCUAGAAGGGUUGAGUCACAAUAGAGCAGUGCACAUCACUGUAAUUUGAAGACAAGUUCAUUACCAGAGUCAUGAUAGGUGGAGGUUUGAGCCUGAACAUAUGCCCGGUGACCACUCUAAAAAGAUUACGUAAAGGCAUGCAUGAGAUACGGAUGGAAGAAUGAAUGUAAAAGCACUCGAUUGGUCCCAGAGAGCCACUAUUGGAGAAAUUAACCUUGAUCUACAGAUGGGCCCGACUUGGUUUGACGUUGAAUUCCAAGUGUUAUAUAUAUCUGCUACUUACAACAUAUUGUCUGGACGACCUGGAUACAUGCAGCUGGCGUAGUGGCUUCUACUCUGCACCAGGUUGUGAAGUUUAAGUGGAAUUAUCAGGAAAUGACCAUUCAUGGAGACAAAAGCAACCCAAUAUACACCAACCAGACCGUUCCAGUCAUCGAAAACAUAAGGAAAUUGAGAGGAGAAACAUACCACCGCAUUAAGCGGGUAAAUGCAAUUGAGAAGGAUCGAUGGUGGAGCAAUAAGAUAGAAAGCAUAUUGUUGUGGAAGGGAUAUCAAACAGGCAAGAGUCUUGGCCGAAAGCUUCAGGGGAUCACAGAACCCUACGACCACACUAUCAUGGCACGACCUUUGGGCUCGGGUACGAAUAUAACAUGCAAGAAUAUAAGGAUUGGAUGCCGCUGUGGCACACUGAUUAUUAUUCACUAGAAUAACCCAUACCACCGCUACACCAGACAUUCCGCCGGACUGACAUGAUAUGGGGAUCCGAGCAAAAUGAGAUUUUGGCUGGUAUGAGGAAGUUGUUCCUAGAUCAGGAAGAUAUGGAGUGCAGUGCAAUUUUAGAAGAGGAGGAGGAGGAGGAAGACUUUACUAUUCAAAUAGUGGGAGAAGGAGCUGUUCUCAAGAACUGGACCGAUGCACCAUCCCGAGCUCGUCGAGAACCUAGGUAGCCUCACAAAAUUAGCAUAACUCAUUUUUAAAUUGUUAAUGAGCAUUUAAGAGAUUUUUAGUAUUUUGUUUUGAAAUAAUUACUCGAGUCAUACUUGUUGACAAAUUUAAGCUUUAUUAAUGCAUUGUUUCUUUUUAUAUUUAUUAUUAUCUUUCUACAUUCUUUUUAGCAUAAUUAUUACAUAUCCUAAUGAACCUACGACUGUGACAUGUGCUGAGACCGCAACAUAAGGAUAGUGAUUCGGAAGAUCUGUGUAAUGCUCUGAACCUGGGGAAGUGUGGCUGGCACCCAGUGCCGUAAUGGCUCGAGCGAACCACUCUAUAACUCAUUCAUUCCUUUUUAUAACUAUCAUGGGCCGCAUGGCCACAACUCAUUAUGUAAAAUUGUAAGUGGGCAAAUGUUAUAUCAAUGAACUAUUGUUCAUAAAACAUGAAUACAUAUGAGUUGUCAAGACCUCUGACAUACUGUACAUAGUAAACCAGUAUCCACAAAGCCUCUAAGAUUAUUUGACAUAAUAUGGGACAGGGUACCGGCCUACCCAUAAGUCUGAAAACUCUGACACGAUGACUUGCACACUCGGUUGCACUUCGAAUGAGGUGGAGUCUUACUGAUCCUUCACUGAAUGUCAAUCUCGUAUACUAUGAGAGCUUGUCAAACUGAUUAUCUAUACCCGGAGGCAUGAAUGCAACGUCCCCAACAAAAGGACGUCAGUACGAAUAAUGUACCGAGUAUGUAAGGCAUGUAAAUAAGUAUAGGGGUGUUCACGGUUUGACGAAAAACCGAUCCAAACCGAAAACCGAACCAAACCGAUUAAGUAAACCGAUAUUUUUCUUGAUUUGGAUUGAUUUUGGUUUUAAAUUUUAAAAGCCGAUAAUAUUUGAUUUGGUUUUGGUUCUAUUUUAAAAAACCGAAAAAUAAACCGAACCAAGCCGACUAAUUAUAUACAAAAUUUAAUAAUUAUUUAUAUACAAUAUAAUAUCUUUUUGUAAAUAAUUUUAAAUAUUUUAUUCAUUUUAAUUGUUAUUUUGAAUUUUGGUUUAUCCUUUUAUAUCUUAAAAGAUUGCCUAACCCCUAAACAAUAGGACUCGAUCAAUUUUCUUUUCAUUAAAAGACUCUAGUUUUCUAACCCUCCGCACAUACUUUUGCCUAACAGAAUAGUUAAAAAAACCACCACAAGAGUAAAGAAAGCAAAUUCAAAUUGCAAGAUAACAAUAGCUAAAACUUGAGAAAGCAAACUUUUAGUUUGUUUUUUGUUCAUUCUUUUCAUAUAAAUAGGUAAAUAAACUUUCAGUUCUGAAAGAAAUAUAUAAAAAACCAUAAAUUUAGCAAAUUAUUUUCAGAUUGUUGUCUAGCGUUGUUUUACUAUUAUCGACUUAUCAUUAGCUUACUAAGAAUCGAAAAACCGAAUCAAACCAAGCCAAACCAACAACAAUCAAACUGAUGGUUUGUAUUUAAUUUGGUUUUGUUUUGGUUUUAAAAUUUUAAAAACCGAUUAAAUUGGUUUGGUUUUGGUUUUAAUCAAAAACCGACCAAACCGAACCGUGAACACCCCUAUAUAAGUAUAUAAAGAACAUGCAAGGAACGUGGAGUAAAACAUUCAGCCUGUAAGUGUGGAUAGUACUACUAUUUUAAAAGAUAGUAGUACUACAACACUUUUAUGAUAGAAGACUCUGAAAGGUAUAGUACUGAUUACGAUUCUUCUCAAUCUUUCCAUUUAGAACUUUACUUUUGUAUGAAGAGCUGUCUUCCCUUUUUGUUUAACUUUAAUUAUUUUAAUAAUUUUUUGCACAUAAAUUUUUACUCCGCGUUAAAAAUUAUGGAUUCAAUUGAACCAGUCCCUAACCCCUACAUCCCGCCCCUUCUCCAAACAAAGUUAGAGGAUCAAGAUGGAUAGUACACAUCAAACUAACUACAGAGAUGAAAAUUAAAAAUCCCAAGGAUGCAAAGUACAACAUGAGUUGGUUUUUCAAUGGCGCUAGUGAAACAUUUAAGCAAAAUAAUUUCCCCCACUAUAGAGAAGUACCUAUUGACAGAUUAACAUGAAAAGCACGUGAACGACAAAAUAUACCAUAAGAGAAAACUCUCCAAAAUUAUUUAUUCAACAGUGCAUGCCACAGGCUCAGAUAUCCAAUACACAAAACCAUUAAAAAAAAUACAUAGGUUUUCAGAAAAAGGACAAUUGCAAAAGUAGUUUGAUAGAACAAAUGGAUCAAAGAUGCAGAGCUGAGGGUCACCAGUGAUUCUUUAGAUACAACUACUAAAGCUGAAAAGUGCUUUCUAAAGUAGGCCGUACACUUAUGAAAGAAAAAACUAGAAACAAACGUAAACCAAUGGGAAAAGAAAUACUUAACUUCAUAGAGAAAGCUAAUAGGGACUGCAAGUUAAAUGUGAACAGUAAACCUCAUAUAAUUUUGAGCACUCAAUACAAAGAAACCAGUAAUAAUUCACUGAAAGAUUUCUUUCUUUGAUACUUUUCUCUUGCUUUAAUUCCAAAGCUGUGAUCCUUAAAAUUUUCUCCGUUAUGGACGUGUGGUCAUAUAUACAUAAUACAUGUAGUCAAACAUAGAUUUAUCAUCUCAUAUAAAGCACAAGUAAAAUAGGUGCGACAUACUGUAGAGAGUGGCAUCUAGAAACUUACGGGGCAAUCAACAAAAGCUACAUGCCUCGGCAAUUUCAUUCUGCAGUUCUCGAAUCCAGGGACA